This 491-nucleotide ribosomal RNA is filed under the name uncultured soil bacterium. RNAcentral's name for it is "bacterial SSU rRNA". It matches the Rfam family "Bacterial small subunit ribosomal RNA", at positions 26 to 532 of the family's 1533-position model. The record is from RNAcentral.
AGGACGAACGCUGGCGGCGUGCUUAACACAUGCAAGUCGAGCGGUAAGGCCUUUCGGGGUACACGAGCGGCGAACGGGUGAGUAACACGUGGGUGAUCUGCCCUGCACUUCGGGAUAAGCCUGGGAAACUGGGUCUAAUACCGGAUAUGACCUCCGAUCGCAUGGUUGGUGGUGGAAAGAUUUAUCGGUGCAGGAUGGGCCCGCGGCCUAUCAGCUUGUUGGUGGGGUAAUGGCCUACCAAGGCGACGACGGGUAGCCGACCUGAGAGGGUGACCGGCCACACUGGGACUGAGACACGGCCCAGACUCCUACGGGAGGCAGCAGUGGGGAAUAUUGCACAAUGGGCGAAAGCCUGAUGCAGCGACGCCGCGUGAGGAUGGACGGCCUUCGGGUUCGUAAACCUCUUUCAGCGAGGACGAAGCGCGAAGUGACGGUACCGUGACGAGAAGAAGCGAACCGGCUAACCGUACGUACGACCAGCAACGCCGGAC